UACACAUGCAAGUCGAGCGGUAAGGCCCUUCGGGGUACACGAGCGGCGAACGGGUGAGUAACACGUGAGCAACCUGCCCCUGACUCCGGGAUAAGCGGUGGAAACGCCGUCUAAUACCGGAUAUGACACACCAUCUCCUGGUGGUGUGUGGAAAGUUUUGUCGGUCAGGGAUGGGCUCGCGGCCUAUCAGCUAGUUGGUGGGGUAAAGGCCUACCAAGGCGAUUACGGGUAGCCGGCCUGAGAGGGCGACCGGCCACACUGGGACUGAGACACGGCCCAGACUCCUGCGGGAGGCAGCAGUGGGGAAUAUUGCACAAUGGGCGAAAGCCUGAUGCAGCGACGCCGCGUGGGGGAUGACGGCCUUCGGGUUGUAAACCUCUUUUACCACCAACGCAGGCCCCGGGUUCUCUCGGGGUUGACGGUAGGUGGGGAAUAAGGACCGGCUAACUACGUGCCAGCAGCG
This 463-nucleotide ribosomal RNA is filed under the name Nocardiopsis exhalans. RNAcentral's name for it is "bacterial SSU rRNA". It matches the Rfam family "Bacterial small subunit ribosomal RNA", at positions 50 to 516 of the family's 1533-position model. The record is from RNAcentral. Lineage: Bacteria; Bacillati; Actinomycetota; Actinomycetes; Streptosporangiales; Nocardiopsidaceae.